This is a non-coding RNA of Tinamus guttatus (white-throated tinamou), 279 nucleotides long. NCBI's taxonomy places the organism in Eukaryota, Metazoa, Chordata, Aves, Tinamiformes, Tinamidae. The record is from RefSeq and is a predicted model, not a curated record.
UGCAUUAAUUAGUAGGGAGAAAGGAGAAAUUAAAGAAAUUCUGCAAGCAUCCAAGGAAAGUGGUUUCUUCACCAAGUGUUCAGAAAAAGGAGAAACCAUCUGACAAGUCAAGUUCCCGAGAUGCAUCUCCAUUUAUUGUGAGUAUGCAGCAGAACAAAUGGGAUCCCUCCAGAUCACUACGAUUCAACCAAGAUGCUCAAAGAGAAGAUGGUCUGUUUUUGCAUGGACUUAGCUUUUGUAGCAUUAAUAUUAUGCAUAGAACAUUGUUCUUUCCUAUAA